RNAcentral lists this ribosomal RNA (253 nucleotides) under uncultured bacterium. Its description in RNAcentral is "partial 16S ribosomal RNA". It matches the Rfam family "Bacterial small subunit ribosomal RNA", at positions 524 to 776 of the family's 1533-position model. The record is from RNAcentral.
UACGAAGGGGGCUAGCGUUGCUCGGAAUCACUGGGCGUAAAGGGUGCGUAGGCGGGUCUUUAAGUCAGGGGUGAAAUCCUGGAGCUCAACUCCAGAACUGCCUUUGAUACUGAAGAUCUUGAGUUCGGGAGGGGUGAAUGGAACUGCGAGUGUAGAGGUGAAAUUCGUAGAUAUUCGCAAGAACACCAGUGGCGAAGGCGGCUCACUGGCCCGAUACUGACGCUGAGGCACGAAAGCGUGGGGAGCAAACAGG